RNAcentral lists this long non-coding RNA (510 nucleotides) under Heterocephalus glaber (naked mole-rat). RNAcentral describes it as "lncRNA (ENSHGLG00000031883.1)". Lineage: Eukaryota; Metazoa; Chordata; Mammalia; Rodentia; Bathyergidae. The record is from RNAcentral.
AAUAUGUCAGCAUGGAUUGUACAGCUAACUGAUGAUAGGAAAUCUUAGUGACUCAAGGAAGCAGACAUCUAAGUAAAAGUGCCAGAACGACUGAGCUAAAUCCUUGGCCAGCAAAUUUCAAAUUUUGAUCUCUUCCCAUGCAACUGAUAUCCAUAUGUGGUCCAAGCUUCUCCAGAGAUGCUGGGCAGCAGCAGUGAGCUGAGCUCCUAGUCAGCCACACAACCCUGAGGGUGGACAACUGAUACUCUACCAGGGGGAAGAGAUGCAACUCCCAAACCUGCUAGAUAUCUGAAGCGCAAGUUCGUGUUCUCUAAAAUUGAAGAAUGAAUUCCAGGAACAACGGAGGUUAAGAGUAGGAAAAAAUUAUUGAGAGAAAGAUAGCUUUUGUCUAAGAGAGACAGAAGGGGGACCAGAAAGUGGGUUGCUGGUUUACUCAACUUCUCAAAAGUCUUUUAUGGGACAAAGUCAUGAGGUGAAUUGGGUUCAAGGUGGGACAAAACUAUAGUCAAC